This 301-nucleotide ribosomal RNA is filed under the name uncultured bacterium. RNAcentral's name for it is "partial 16S ribosomal RNA". It matches the Rfam family "Bacterial small subunit ribosomal RNA", at positions 509 to 807 of the family's 1533-position model. The record is from RNAcentral.
CAGCCGCCGCGGUAAUACGUAGGGUGCAAGCGUUAAUCGGAAUUACUGGGCGUAAAGCGUGCGCAGGCGGUUAUAUAAGACAGAUGUGAAAUCCCCGGGCUCAACCUGGGAACUGCAUUUGUGACUGUAUAGCCAGAGUACGGCAGAGGGGGAUGGAAUUCCGCGUGUAGCAGUGAAAUGCGUAGAUAUGCGGAGGAACACCGAUGGCGAAGGCAAUCCCCUGGGCCUGUACUGACGCUCAUGCACGAAAGCGUGGGGAGCAAACAGGAUUAGAUACCCCGGUAGUCCCUGUCUCUUAUAC